GUGGACCCGGUGGGCGACAUGACCAUCACCGAGUCUGUCUUUAUUGUUGCGUGGUUUUCACUCGUCAUAGCUCCUCAUUUGUCCCGUCUUCAGAUAAAAAAAGUUUGCAUUUUUACCAAAUGACUGAAGUCCUUACCUUGGAGAGGUUUGAUCGGAGUCCUCUAUAGGCUUUGCACUAUUCGGUUCGGACCCGCCUCCUCCUCUCCCUCCCCACCGACUCCGCCAUCUUGUAUCGGGCACUCGGACGCGGUUAAUGCGCAUGCGCGGGUCCGCAGUGGACGACGUCGAGACCGCGCGGCCAUUUGUAGAGAGGCGUUCAUUCUGUGAAAUGAAAUAAACGGUUUUAUUUCUUUAUUUAUAGGAAACUAUGUGAACGUUCUUUUAUUGUUGUCCUGAAUUUUUUUACACAUGUACUUAAUACAAUAAAAUGGUAAUGUCUA
Long non-coding RNA from Carassius carassius (crucian carp), 440 nucleotides. RefSeq lists it as uncharacterized. The record is from RefSeq and is a predicted model, not a curated record. Lineage: Eukaryota; Metazoa; Chordata; Actinopteri; Cypriniformes; Cyprinidae. The transcript has 2 exons.